Molecule: ribosomal RNA, 389 nt
Filed under: Haptolina sp.
Lineage: Eukaryota; Haptophyta; Prymnesiales; Prymnesiaceae
Description: partial small subunit ribosomal RNA
Rfam family: Eukaryotic small subunit ribosomal RNA
Source: RNAcentral
AUUCCAGCUCCAACAGCGUAUAUUAAAGUUGUUGCAGUUAAAACGCUCGUAGUCGGAUUUCGGGGCCUGCCUGCCGGUCUGCCGAUGGGUAUGCACUGGCAGGCGCGUCCUUCCUUCCGGAGACUGUCCCUACUCUUAACUGAGCGGGGUCGGGAGACGGAUCGUUUACUUUGAAAAAAUCAGAGUGUUUCAAGCAGGCAGCUCGCUCUUGCAUGGAUUAGCAUGGGAUAAUGAAAUAGGACUUUGGUGCUAUUUUGUUGGUUUCGAACACCGAAGUAAUGAUUAACAGGGACAGUCAGGGGCACUCGUAUUCCGCCGAGAGAGGUGAAAUUCUCAGACCAGCGGAAGACGAACUACUGCGAAAGCAUUUGCCAGGGAUGUUUUCAUUA